Long non-coding RNA from Haplochromis burtoni (Burton's mouthbrooder), 686 nucleotides. RefSeq lists it as uncharacterized. Lineage: Eukaryota; Metazoa; Chordata; Actinopteri; Cichliformes; Cichlidae. The transcript has 3 exons. The record is from RefSeq and is a predicted model, not a curated record.
GUCCUGCUUUUUUCCUUCCACACUGAAAAAUGAAGCCUGUUAAAGUCCUGAUGUGCUUUGAGACAUCAGGACUGUUUUAAAGCUUCAUGUGUAAUAGUCAGCAGAGGUGUGACCACACUUCAUACUUGCCUCAUAUUACUCAAUCUUCCUCUUCCUGCCGUCUUUCACAGCUGCUCGGAUCAGAAACCCUCCAAAGUAUCAUCAGCGCUCCUGUUUCUCUGUGAUGAUGUCGGAGGACCUUCUAAACACUCUGGAAGAUCUGGGAGAUGAAGAGUUUAAUAAAUUCAAGUGGUUCCUACAGCAGACCGACGUCAUUCAAGGCCCCAUGACCAUCAAGAAGAGCCGACUGGAGACAACAAGCAGGUGGGACACCGUGGACUUGAUGGUGCAGACCUACAGACUUUCUGGAGCUGUUGAGGUGACCAGAAGGGUUUUAAAGAGGAUCGGCAGGAAUGACCUGCUGCUCAGUUUGUCUGUUAUCAGGCCCAGACCCGAAGUGAAUGUCAGUGAUUUGACCUCUCAGGCUCCUCUUCCUCAGACUGAAGGUAAGUCACUGCUUUGUUUUCCAUACAUUCCAGGCUUCUUUACUCCAAAUAUCUCAAUGUGAAGUAACUGUGAGCAUGACAUUGAACUGUCACCUGGUUUUACCCAUAAUUCUUGGUUGUUUUAUAGUCACUUAUAAUGUU